This 630-nucleotide ribosomal RNA is filed under the name uncultured Massilia sp. RNAcentral describes it as "bacterial SSU rRNA". It matches the Rfam family "Bacterial small subunit ribosomal RNA", at positions 97 to 721 of the family's 1533-position model. Lineage: Bacteria; Pseudomonadati; Pseudomonadota; Betaproteobacteria; Burkholderiales; Oxalobacteraceae. The record is from RNAcentral.
GGCGAACGGGUGAGUAAUAUAUCGGAACGUACCCAAGAGUGGGGGAUAACGUAGCGAAAGUUACGCUAAUACCGCAUACGAUCUAUGGAUGAAAGUGGGGGAUUCGCAAGAACCUCAUGCUCCUGGAGCGGCCGAUAUCUGAUUAGCUAGUUGGUGAGGUAAAGGCUCACCAAGGCGACGAUCAGUAGCUGGUCUGAGAGGACGACCAGCCACACUGGAACUGAGACACGGUCCAGACUCCUACGGGAGGCAGCAGUGGGGAAUUUUGGACAAUGGGCGCAAGCCUGAUCCAGCAAUGCCGCGUGAGUGAAGAAGGCCUUCGGGUUGUAAAGCUCUAUUGUCAGGGAAGAAACGGUUGAGGCUAAUAUCCUCGGCUAAUGACGGUACCUGAAGAAUAAGCACCGGCUAACUACGUGCCAGCAGCCGCGGUAAUACGUAGGGUGCAAGCGUUAAUCGGAAUUACUGGGCGUAAAGCGUGCGCAGGCGGUUUUGUAAGUCUGUCGUGAAAGCCCCGGGCUCAACCUGGGAAUUGCGAUGGAGACUGCAAGGCUUGAAUCUGGCAGAGGGGGGUAGAAUUCCACGUGUAGCAGUGAAAUGCGUAGAGAUGUGGAGGAACACCGAUGGCGAAGG